RNAcentral lists this ribosomal RNA (460 nucleotides) under uncultured bacterium. Its description in RNAcentral is "partial 16S ribosomal RNA". It matches the Rfam family "Bacterial small subunit ribosomal RNA", at positions 338 to 795 of the family's 1533-position model. The record is from RNAcentral.
CCUACGGGAGGCAGCAGUGAGGAAUAUUGGUCAAUGGGCUUACGCCUGAACCAGCCAAGUCGCGUGAGGGAAGACUGCCCUAUGGGUUGUAAACCUCUUUUGUCAGGGAGCAACGCCGGCUACGUGUAGCCGGACUGAGAGUACCUGAAGAAAAAGCAUCGGCUAACUCCGUGCCAGCAGCCGCGGUAAUACGGAGGAUGCGAGCGUUAUCCGGAUUUAUUGGGUUUAAAGGGUGCGUAGGCGGACUGGAAAGUCAGCGGUAAAAUCGAGAGGCUCAACCUCUUUCCGCCGUUGAAACUGUCGGUCUUGAGUGGGCGAGAAGUAUGCGGAAUGCGUGGUGUAGCGGUGAAAUGCAUAGAUAUCACGCAGAACUCCGAUUGCGAAGGCAGCAUACCGGCGCCCGACUGACGCUGAGGCACGAAAGCGUGGGUAUCGAACAGGAUUAGAUACCCGUGUAGUC